This is a long non-coding RNA of Oryza sativa Japonica Group (Japanese rice), 966 nucleotides long. RefSeq lists it as uncharacterized. NCBI's taxonomy places the organism in Eukaryota, Viridiplantae, Streptophyta, Magnoliopsida, Poales, Poaceae. The record is from RefSeq and is a predicted model, not a curated record.
GGCCUACAGCUUUGCUUAGGUUGGUUGCACUGGGGCGUGUCCUGUGGCCUUUCAGUAGAAAAAAUGGUGGCCCGGAUGUAUCAGAACUAGGCUAGGGCCCAGCCCAGAGGGCAGUGUUGACCAGCUUUGACCACCUUACCCAACUCCUUGUGCGAUUGAGCCAAACCCCAGCAGCGAGCGCAACGGCAACGGCCUUGUUGGCGACUGGCCGCCGCCGCCCGCCGGCGGCCGGGCGGCCAGCGGGGGGUGGCUAAUGAGGGCUCCGCUGGGCGGCCAGCAUAUGCGGGGUGCGGGGGCCGCAGUCCGUAGAAGCGCGGGAAGGCUGCGACUGGGUAAGCCAGGCGCGUGGAGCGGUGGAGGCAAGCGGCGGCCGGUGGGGGAGGCGGCUGCGUGCGCUCGGUGUCUGCGUCGCAUCGAGCAUUCGAGCUGGUGGAAGGAGCCUAUCGAGGAGCUGAGCAAGCGAGCUGUGGUUCCCGAUUACUGAUUUCCUGGUGGCUGAAAAUCAGCGACGGAAGGUAUCUCAAAGAGAUUUGAAUAGCUAUUUUAACCGUGGGUGAUGUGCCACCAACCCCAACUACUUGUGGCAAUGGAAUUGUUGCGGUGGAAGAGGCUGCGCUGAACAGGUAGAAGGGGUCGUGGAAGUACAAUUGGGUUCAUUUCAUAUUGCUGGACGAGCGGAAGAGGUAAUCUAAGCAUGUUUGGAUGUCGAUUAAUUUUAGUUGUUGGUCUAUUUAGUGUCAUAUAAACGAUGUAAUCGCAUUUGUGUUUAGGCGAAGUUGUUUUCGGUUUUAGUGUUGAUCUUCUCUUCAGCAACUGGGCACACCUCAGAUUCUUACCAUCCUCCACCACCACGAACAGAUAUCAAUGUUUCAACGGGCUCGUCCCUCUAAUUAUUUAGAUUUGUUUAAACAAACUAUAUUAUAUACGAAUGAACGGUAAUAUAUAUAUAUUUGCCGGUUGCUGUCA